Molecule: ribosomal RNA, 386 nt
Filed under: uncultured Katablepharidophyta
Lineage: Eukaryota; Cryptophyceae; Kathablepharidacea
Description: partial small subunit ribosomal RNA
Rfam family: Eukaryotic small subunit ribosomal RNA
Source: RNAcentral
GCUUGUCUCAAAGAUUAAGCCAUGCAUGUCUAAGUGUAAAUACGUCUACACUGUGAAACUGCGAAUGGCUCAUUAAAUCAGUUAUCGUUUAUUUGAUGAUCUCUUGUUACAUGGAUAACCGUAGUAAUUCUAGAGCUAAUACAUGCGUCAAGCCCCGACUUCGGAAGGGGUGUAUUUAUUAGAUACAAACCAACAUCGUGGUGAUUCAUAAUAACUUUGCGAAUCGUAUGCCUCACGGCGACGAUGAAUCAUUCAAGUUUCUGACCUAUCAGCUUCCGACGGUAGGGUAUUGGCCUACCGUGGCAAUGACGGGUAACGGAGAAUUAGGGUUCGAUUCCGGAGAGGGAGCCUGAGAAACGGCUACCACAUCUAAGGAAGGCAGCAGG